RNAcentral lists this long non-coding RNA (2875 nucleotides) under Homo sapiens (human). RNAcentral describes it as "non-protein coding LINC00269:3". Lineage: Eukaryota; Metazoa; Chordata; Mammalia; Primates; Hominidae. The record is from RNAcentral.
AUCUUCUCCCCCGCCAGCUCGCCAGCUCGGGAGCUUCUUGAGAGCAGGGUCCAUGGCAGGCUUUGCUCACCAUUGCGUGGCUCCAGGCUCAGUACUACCCCAACCAUCACCACCACCACCAAUACACCAUCGCUGGCAUCUGGUUUGUUGAACAGAACAAGGGAAACCCUGGAAAUAAAUGAGACCGUGCUGUCGUAAAGUCUAACUUAGUGUACACAGUGUUUCCCUCAGACUUUUAUUCAUUCAAGCAGCAUGUAUUGGAUACCUACUAUACAACAAGCAUUGUUCUAGGAACCAGGGAUACAGUGGCAAAAAUGACAAGCCAUAGACCCUGCCCUCAUGAAACUUCAUGUAGAGGAGACAUACAGCAGAUCGAAUCCUAGACUCACUGUCUGAUCCGGAAGGCACUUUAAUCAUGCCUAAGAGCCUGGAGAUUUAUAAAGGAAGCUGUAACUGGGAAGAAUCCGGCCUGCUGGGAAGCUGCUUCUCCCAGGGUCUUGCUCUAUUACCCCGAGUGGAGUGGAGUGGUGCCAUCUUGGCUCAUUGCAUCGUUGACCUCCCGAGCUCAAGUGAUCCUCCCACCUCAGCCUCCCACUUUUCGGGACUACAGGCACACACCACCACAGCCAGAUGGAGUCUCACUCUGUUGCCCAGGCUUGAGUGCAGUGGCACAAUCUCGGCUCACUACAACCUCCGCCUCCUGGGUUCAAGCAAUUCUCCUGUCUCAGCCUCCCAAGUAGCUGAGACUACAGAGGCAUGCCACCACACCAGGCUAAUUUUUGUAUUUUCAGUAGAGACGGGGUUUCACCACGUUGGUCAGGCUGGUCUCAAACUCCUGACCUCAGGUGAUCCACCUGCCUCAGCCUCUCAAAGUGCUGGGAUUACAGGCGUAAGCCACAGUGCCCGGCCCAAAAGUUGCUUUCUCCAACUUUUGGGCUGAACUCUGUCUCUUUGUGGCUUCCAUCCAUUGGUCACAGUGCUGCCUCUGGGGGCCACCUAAGCUCUGUCUUCUCCCUCUGCCCUCCAACAGCUUCUUAGAGGUCUGAAGCAUCACCAUAGCCAUAACCCCUGAGUCUUCUCCAAGCAAAACAACUCCACUUCCUUCAACUGUUCUUCAUGAGACCAGGGCCCCCGCUUUCUCCACAGCAUGCUUUUGCCUCCCUGGUCAUGCUCCAGUGUGACUCUGGUACCCUUAAUAUGUGGCACACAGAGCUGACACCAUAUUCCAGGGCAGUCUGUCACCUCCUUGUUCUUGAAACUUUACUUCUAUACUGCCUACAGAUGCAGCUGAAGGUUCCAUGGAUGUAUUUGGUCAGACCAUGCAUAUGACAGUCACCUCCUCACCUCUGCUCCUUGCCCUCUCACCUGGUUCCCCCUUGCCAGCCUACAUUUGAGGACUGGAUCCAAGAGCAAGACCUAACAUUUCUCCCUGUCGUAUUUACUUUGUAAGCUUCAGCCCCUCCUUCUAGUCUGUCAGGAAUGGGAAUGUUUUUGAAAACAGACUCUGAAAGCCAAUGAGAUGUGCUCCUCCUGCCCACAGUUGGACCCAGGCUCCAUAUUUGAUCAGUGAACAGCCACGUCCGCACAUGUGCCACAAGGCAUUUGUCUGCAAAUUCAUCCGGAGACCUUGACAGAUGCCUGGAGGUCAGAAAUCAGCCUCCUCUAUGCUGCCAUGUGGCCCCAGGAGCCUGAAGGAAACACCAAGUACAUCUAGAAGUUGAUGGUUGACCGAUGGGAGAGGGGGCAAGAUGCCAGUCACUCAGUCAGCCAACCUUUCCUGAAGAUUGUUGGAGGCUCCAAGUGACAUAGGGGAUAAUGCAGAGAACAUUCAGAGACAUCAUCUACUGCCUGUGCGCUCUGGAAGUUUCUAGUCUCACAAAAAGGAAGACCAGGGAGGCCCUUAAGAAAAUAUAGCAGGCUGAAUAAUAUCCCCCAAAGAUAUCAGGUCCUAAUCCCUGGAACCUGUAAAAGUUACCUGAUUUGGAAAAAUGAUCUUGGCAGAUGUGAUCAAGUUAAGGGUUUCUAAAUGCAAUCACAUAAGAGGGAGGCAGAGGAGACUUGAAACAGAUGGAAAAAGAAAAGAAAAGACCACGUGACCAUAGAGGCAGAGAUUGGAGUGAAGUGGCUACAAGCCAAGGAAUGCUGGCAGCCACAGAAGCUGGAAAAGACAAGGACCAGAUUCUCCCUUAGAGCCUCUGGAAGGAGCAUGGCCCCAUCAACACCUUGAUUUUGGCCCAGUGAUACUGGCUUUAGACGUCUAGCCUCCAGAUCCGUGAGAGAAUACAUUUUUGUUUUCUUCAGCCACCAAGUUUGUGGUCAUUGUUACAGAAGCCACAGGAAACCGAGAUAGGUAAUGAGGGAGGUCCACAGGCAGGUGAGGGGCCUGGACCACGACCAAGGUGGGCCAGGCAACUGAUGGCCAUAAAUCUUAGGCAAGGCUUCCUGGAAGAGGCUGGAGCUGGGAUCUCAAGAGUGAUAGAGGAGGGGGCUUGGCAGAGGGAAGAGACAGGGCUCCCUGGGCUGUGACAAUUGAGCAGAUCAGGCCUGGUGUGGCCAGAGAUCACUGAGACUGCAGAAGUGAAGGGGGGUGGUGUGUAUGUGAAAAGGCCACAUCCUGCCAAGUUGCCACUUUACGUCCUUCCCAGGGGAAAAUGAGCAGAACCCUGCGUCGCCAGCAGGGUGGCCCUUGGUCAUCCUGCAAAAAGCCAAGAUGUGGGGUCAGACAGACCUGGUUCUAGCACCACCACAUACUGGUGCCUGCUGCCUCCCUGAGCCUCAGUCUCCCCAUCAGCAAAAUGGGGAUGAUAAUAUUGGUAUAAUUUCUAAGGAUACUUUCUCAUUUUCCAGCUUUCCCUUGUUGUCGCAUUUCUUCUUU